AUGCUCCAAGUCCUCGCUGUCAAGUGCCACGUCGCCACCCCUGCUUCUCCUCGAGCCCUCCUCUGCGUCGCUCGCUCAGGCCGCCAGCAACCUCAGCACGCGUGCCCGACCUCAUCACUGCGUCCAGCCAGAGGUCUUCGCCCCUUUGUCCUGCUAUCGUAUGACAUCUCAAGGGUCAUCCUCUGCCGCUGA
This 192-nucleotide ribosomal RNA is filed under the name Triticum aestivum (bread wheat). RNAcentral's name for it is "partial small subunit ribosomal RNA". Lineage: Eukaryota; Viridiplantae; Streptophyta; Magnoliopsida; Poales; Poaceae. The record is from RNAcentral.